CGCGUUCUCUUGAAAGUGGAUACUUAAGUGCUUUUGCCGACCUGUGAGCCAUUGCAUCAAUUUUGCCUGCUUUGAAGCUAAAAGAAAGAAAGAACAUGAAGUUCUUUAGUCAAGUGAUUCUCUUGUUGCUGGGCUUAUUAUUCUUCAUCUUGACGUUGGAACCUACCCCUGUACAGGCGAUAUAUUACCACCCAAUGCGACAAUCUUCUAGAGGCUCUCCCCGAUUUCCAUGGAAAGAACCAAAAGGAAAUAUUCAUAUACCAUUCGGUACAAGGAAACCAAAGACACCACGUCCUGGAUCUAACGG
Rhipicephalus microplus (southern cattle tick) is the source of this 307-nucleotide long non-coding RNA. The record is from RefSeq and is a predicted model, not a curated record. Lineage: Eukaryota; Metazoa; Arthropoda; Arachnida; Ixodida; Ixodidae.